CCGGUUGUUGCAUCAACCGUUCCCUACCCGGACAUGCGGAGCUGGUAACAACUCGGU
Candidatus Burkholderia brachyanthoides is the source of this 57-nucleotide non-coding RNA. NCBI's taxonomy places the organism in Bacteria, Pseudomonadati, Pseudomonadota, Betaproteobacteria, Burkholderiales, Burkholderiaceae. The record is from Rfam.